GUUUUAAUAGUUUAAUUAAAAUAUAAGUCUUGUAAACUUAAGAUAAUAUAAAUUUUAAAACU
RNAcentral lists this transfer RNA (62 nucleotides) under Tettigades limbata. RNAcentral's name for it is "tRNA-Thr". Lineage: Eukaryota; Metazoa; Arthropoda; Insecta; Hemiptera; Cicadidae. RNAcentral also lists the same sequence under 1 other name. The record is from RNAcentral.